AUGCAGCUGAUGAGCCCCAAAUAGGGCGAAACACGCGUCAAACUGGAU
Molecule: non-coding RNA, 48 nt
Filed under: Schistosoma margrebowiei
Lineage: Eukaryota; Metazoa; Platyhelminthes; Trematoda; Strigeidida; Schistosomatidae
Source: RNAcentral